This 288-nucleotide unclassified non-coding RNA is filed under the name uncultured Myxotrichaceae. RNAcentral's name for it is "sequence contains ITS1". The stretch from base 1 to 105 matches the Rfam family "5.8S ribosomal RNA", at positions 50 to 154 of the family's 154-position model. Lineage: Eukaryota; Fungi; Ascomycota; Leotiomycetes; Myxotrichaceae. The record is from RNAcentral.
GAAAUGCGAUAAGUAAUGCGAAUUGCAGAAUUCAGUGAGUCAUCGAAUCUUUGAACGCACAUUGCGCCCCGCGGUAUUCCGCGGGGCAUGCCUGUUCGAGCGUCAUUUCAACCCUCAAGCCCUGCUUGGUGCUGGGCCCCGCCCGCCGCGGCCGGCCCUAAAAUCAGUGGCGGCGCCGUCGGGCCCUAAGCGUAGUAAUGCUCGCGCUCCAGGGCCCCGCGGCCGCCCGCCAGGAAACCUACUUUCACGGUUGACCUCGGAUCAGGUAGGGAUACCCGCUGAGUUUAA